CCUACGGGUGGCAGCAGUGGGGAAUAUUGCGCAAUGGGCGAAAGCCUGACGCAGCGACGCCGCGUGAGGGAUGAAGGUCCUCGGAUCGUAAACCUCUGUCAGCAGGGAAGAACGGUCACUGUGCUAAUCAGCAGUGAAUUGACGGUACCUGCAAGGGAAGCAUCGGCUAACGCCGUGCCAGCAGCCGCGGUAAUACGGAGGGUGCGAGCGUUAAUCGGAAUUACUGGGCGUAAAGCGCUCGUAGGCGGUAUGUCAAGUCAAGGGUGAAAUCCCCGCGCUCAACGUGGGAACUGCCUUUGAAACUGGCAAACUGGAGUGUGUGAGAGGAUAGUGGAAUGCCAGGUGUAGGAGUGAAAUGCGUAGAUAUCUGGAGGAACAUCAGUGGCGAAGGCGACUAUCUGGCACAUAACUGACGCUGAGGAGCGAAAGCGUGGGUAGCAAACAGGAUUAGAUACCCUGGUAGUC
RNAcentral lists this ribosomal RNA (465 nucleotides) under uncultured bacterium. Its description in RNAcentral is "partial 16S ribosomal RNA". It matches the Rfam family "Bacterial small subunit ribosomal RNA", at positions 338 to 795 of the family's 1533-position model. The record is from RNAcentral.